AAACUAACUAGUAUGUCUCUAGUAGCGGCGAGCGAAGCAGACAAAGCUCAAAUUUGAAAUCUGGCUCUUUUAGAGUCCGAGUUGUAAUUUGCAGAGGGCGCUUUGGCUUUGGCAGCGGUCCAAGUUCCUUGGAACAGGACGUCACAGAGGGUGAGAAUCCCGUACGUGGUCGCUAGCUAUUGCCGUGUAAAGCCCCUUCGACGAGUCGAGUUGUUUGGGAAUGCAGCUCUAAAUGGGAGGUAAAUUUCUUCUAAAGCUAAAUAUUGGCCAGAGACCGAUAGCGCACAAGUAGAGUGAUCGAAAGAUGAAAAGCACUUUGGAAAGAGAGUCAAACAGCACGUGAAAUUGUUGAAAGGGAAGCGCUUGCAGCCAGACUUGCUUGCAGUUGCUCAUCUGGGCUUUUGCCCGGUGCACUCUUCUGCAGGCAGGCCAGCAUCAGUUUGGGCGGUGGGAUAAAGGUCUCUGACACGUUCCUUCCUUCGGGUUGGCCAUAUAGGGGAGACGUCAUACCACCAGCCUGGACUGAGGUCCGCGCAUCUGCUAGGAUGCUGGCGUAAUGGCUGUAAGCGGCCCGUCUUGAAACACGGACCAAGGAGUCUAACAUCCAUGCGAGUGUUUGGGUGUCAAGCCCAAGCGCGUAAUGAAAGUGAACGGAGGUGGGAACCCGCAAGGGCGCACCAUCGACCGAUCCUGAAGUUUACGGAAGGAUUUGAGUAAGAGCAUGGCUGUUGGGACCCGAAAGAUGGUGAACUAUGCUUGAAUAGGGUGAAGCCAGAGGAAACUCUGGUGGAGGCUCGCAGCGGUUCUGACGUGCAAAUCGAUCGUCAAAUUUGGGCAUAGGGGCGAAAGACUAAUCG
RNAcentral lists this ribosomal RNA (857 nucleotides) under Curvularia robusta. RNAcentral's name for it is "eukaryotic LSU rRNA". It matches the Rfam family "Eukaryotic large subunit ribosomal RNA", at positions 62 to 937 of the family's 3401-position model. The record is from RNAcentral. Lineage: Eukaryota; Fungi; Ascomycota; Dothideomycetes; Pleosporales; Pleosporaceae.